CAAAGGUUAGUUUAUUUAAAAUAAUAGUUUUGGGAAUUGUUGAUGAGUUUAUUCUCCUUUGA
RNAcentral lists this transfer RNA (62 nucleotides) under Pulchriphyllium giganteum. RNAcentral describes it as "tRNA-Pro". Lineage: Eukaryota; Metazoa; Arthropoda; Insecta; Phasmatodea; Phylliidae. The record is from RNAcentral.